This 696-nucleotide ribosomal RNA is filed under the name uncultured bacterium. Its description in RNAcentral is "bacterial SSU rRNA". It matches the Rfam family "Bacterial small subunit ribosomal RNA", at positions 9 to 694 of the family's 1533-position model. The record is from RNAcentral.
GAGUUUGAUCCUGGCUCAGAUUGAACGCUGGCGGCAGGCCUAACACAUGCAAGUCGAACGGUAACAGGAAACAGCUUGCUGUUUCGCUGACGAGUGGCGGACGGGUGAGUAAUGUCUGGGAAACUGCCUGAUGGAGGGGGAUAACUACUGGAAACGGUAGCUAAUACCGCAUAACGUCGCAAGACCAAAGAGGGGGACCUUCGGGCCUCUUGCCAUCGGAUGUGCCCAGAUGGGAUUAGCUUGUUGGUGGGGUAACGGCUCACCAAGGCGACGAUCCCUAGCUGGUCUGAGAGGAUGACCAGCCACACUGGAACUGAGACACGGUCCAGACUCCUACGGGAGGCAGCAGUGGGGAAUAUUGCACAAUGGGCGCAAGCCUGAUGCAGCCAUGCCGCGUGUAUGAAGAAGGCCUUCGGGUUGUAAAGUACUUUCAGCGGGGAGGAAGGGAGUAAAGUUAAUACCUUUGCUCAUUGACGUUACCCGCAGAAGAAGCACCGGCUAACUCCGUGCCAGCAGCCGCGGUAAUACGGAGGGUGCAAGCGUUAAUCGGAAUUACUGGGCGUAAAGCGCACGCAGGCGGUUUGUUAAGUCAGAUGUGAAAUCCCCGGGCUCAACCUGGGAACUGCAUCUGAUACUGGCAAGCUUGAGUCUCGUAGAGGGGGGUAGAAUUCCAGGUGUAGCGGUGAAAUGCGUAGA